RNAcentral lists this ribosomal RNA (304 nucleotides) under uncultured bacterium. Its description in RNAcentral is "bacterial SSU rRNA". It matches the Rfam family "Bacterial small subunit ribosomal RNA", at positions 30 to 334 of the family's 1533-position model. The record is from RNAcentral.
AUUGAACGCUGGCGGCACGCUUAACACAUGCAAGUCGAGCGGUAGCAGGUCUAGUUUACUAGAUGCUGACGAGUGGCGGACGGGUGAGUAACGCGUAGGAAUUUCCCCUAGAGCCUGGGAUAACUUGAGGAAACUUGAGCUAAUACCGGAUGAACCUUACGAGGUAAAGAUUGCUUUCGGGCAGUCGCUGUAGGAUGAGCCUGCGUUAGAUUAGCUAGUUGGUGGGGUAAUGGCCUACCAAGGCGACGAUCUAUAGCUGUUCUGAGAGGAAGAUCAGCCACACUGGGACUGAGACACGGCCCAG